UUUAGGUAUUCAUCCUACAACAACGUUACAGCCAGUGACACUGAUCUCACUACUCUGAUGACCGACGUGGAAGAGGACGGUGUCCUAUGAGGACGAUGUCAGCGAAGGCAAAUGAGCAUUCUUUUAUGCUUCGCUCAGAAGAAUCAGCUCCCUAAAAAGGUGGCCAGGUUAGAGGAGGAGACAGCUAGCCAGGAAGUCCGGGACAUCCCCUACGUGGACCCACUAAACCAACUGCCAGCAGCAAGAAGAAGGAUGCAACACGGCUGGACAGACUGGUGCGGAGUGCAGCAUCUGUGGUGGGCACAGAGCUGAACACUGUAGUGUCAGUAGCAGAAAACGGACCCUGGAUAAGAUCCUGUCCAUACUGGACAACGCCUCCCACCUUUGCACAGGACUCUGAUCAGUCAGAUGAGUGUGUUCAGCACCAUGCUGCUGUCUCUGACCUGCUCUACAAACAGACUGUGAGAAGGUGAGCACCUCCCUUCUCACUGUCUCCCACGAUGGACACUUUGUGAUGACGUGGCCUGCGAGGCAGCGUCGGAGAACAAAAGACUAUUUGGAUUUUGUGGCACAUGUACACGCGGGUGCGCACACACACACACAGAUGGACUCUUUAUCAGCUUGUACAUAUUUUAGGUGCUUGGCGACGUCUUUGGCAUGGCGUGGACACUUCGGCGCCAGAAACUCGGUCCACUGCGUCACUCGUGACAGUUUUAUCCCCGGUCCAGCAUCCAGGCGUGUAGUGAGGUACCCACUACUCGUCCCACUCUUCAUCUGUCCGUUUAUAAAGACUCUGGUUCUUCAUACACUCACGUACACGUACUCACCUGCACUCCCGGUCCGGCUCCAUUGCUCCAUCCAAGCAGAGGAACCAUUGCACUCAGGGGUGUUUAUAUUUCUUUAUGGUGUUGGUUAUGUAGUGUUUGUAUAAAGUUAUUGUGUGGUGUGUGGGUAAAUGAAAAGGCGCAUUGUUUAUUUUUGUAUUGAUUUAUUAUGAUUAAUAACAUUGUAUGGACCAUUAUGAUUUCCGGUGAUCCCCUCAAUAACGGUUUGAACCAUUUGGGCUCAACCAGCAGCCCUAUUUAAGGGCGCCUCAUUUAGCUUCUGGGCUUCUGGGAGAGAAGUGCUAUGACCUGCUGUGAGUUGAUGAUAUCACUGUUUUGUUCUUGCGUCUUGUCUGCUCUCAGACUGUGUGUCGAGCGUUUGUGUUUCGGGAAAAUAAAAAGUUUUUUCCUGGCACCUGAAGCUUCGCUGCCUCCUGUUUCCAACCUCUUCCACCUGAACUCGAAUUUGCCUAGAUCCCUUUAUUCGGGGAGACCACUCUGGUCCCUCACACAGACUCAGGAACUCGUUUCUUCCCCUGGCCAUUAGACUCUACAACUCAGGGGUUGUUCAGGGGUAACGAUCCCAGCGACAGUCUGUGCCUGAGUCACAUCAGGCAUAAAAAAAAUCACAUUUACUUAUUCCACUAUGCACCUUAUACUGUU
Molecule: long non-coding RNA, 1487 nt
Organism: Scatophagus argus
Lineage: Eukaryota; Metazoa; Chordata; Actinopteri; Scatophagidae
Exons: 3
Source: RefSeq, a predicted model, not a curated record